This 24-nucleotide microRNA is filed under the name Gossypium hirsutum (cotton). RNAcentral's name for it is "ghr-miR7496a". Lineage: Eukaryota; Viridiplantae; Streptophyta; Magnoliopsida; Malvales; Malvaceae. The record is from miRBase by way of RNAcentral.
AUGACCAAAUUGAUAGAAUGUGUA